RNA transcript from Arachis duranensis, 4059 nucleotides. RefSeq lists it as uncharacterized. The transcript is spliced from 3 exons. The record is from RefSeq and is a predicted model, not a curated record. Lineage: Eukaryota; Viridiplantae; Streptophyta; Magnoliopsida; Fabales; Fabaceae.
UGUUGUUAAGCAACGGUUGAAACAUAGUGGAGGCAGUGUUUUCGAUCAAAGGGAGAGAGAGAGAGAGAGAGAGAGAGAGAGAGAGAGCACAGAACGGGGUUUAUGCUUUAAUUGAAAUUUCUAUUCUUUUUUUCCUUCUUACUUUUGUCAUCUUUUUUCUUUUUUAUUAUUUAUUUUCUUUGCUGUUUCGUUCGCCUUUUGGAUUUCAAUUUCAAUUUAGAGAAGAAAAUCCAACUGUGGAAGAUACGAACCUACUUAUCAAUUAUCAUACCGCUAUGUUUUGUAUUUACUUCUCUUUAGUAAAAGAGCAUUUCAUGUUUUUAGGCGCUUUGCUUUAAUUAUGCUGCUCUGAAAUUACAGAGAGAGAGAGAGAGAGAGAGUUCCUUGUGGAGUGCCUCUCCCUCCUAAUUGAAGCUCCAUAGUUACUGUUACUUGUCCUAGGAUUCUUCUUCAAACCCAUUUCUCAUUAUUUUUUGGUUGGGGAGAGUUUCUUCUCUUGUAUAUGUGAGAGUUGCUCUGCAAAGGUUUGGGAUCUGGAUUUCUAGGGUUUGAGGGUUAUGAGCUUUUGACUUUUUCUCUCUCCAUCUUCGGCAUCACACUUUCCUUUUGUAAGAAGUUGGGUAUUGAAACCUACUCCAGGAUUUCGAUCGUUGGGGAAAUGCAGGGUUGUGGUCUUCGUGGAAUUAGGGAGUUUUAGCUCAAUUUGUUACAGGUUGAUGGGCUGAAACUUUACUUCUUGUCUGUGUUGUGUUCGUUCAAGUGACUCAAUUCAAGCUUCCUGGUUCUCUCAUCUGAAAUUGAUUUUUGAGAGCAGUGGAAGGUAUCAUGCAUCUCUCACUAUGGAAGCCCAUUUCCCACUGUGCUUCUCUGCUCUUGGACAAGAAGAGCAGGAGGAAAGAUGAUGAUUCCGUGGUCGAGAUAAGGAGGAACCCAUCAAUGCUUCGGAAGCUGCAAGAGAACAAGCUUAGGGAAGCUCUUGAAGAAGCUUGUGAAGAUGGUUCACUCUUCAAAUCUCAAGACAUAGAGCCAGAGACUGUUGCCAACCAGGAUGAAAGCUUUGGGAGAUCCCGUUCCCUUGCCAGGCUGCACGCCCAGCGGGAGUUCCUUCGUGCCACUGCCCUUGCCACUGAUCGCACUUAUGAGUCCGAGGAGGAAAUUCCCACCUUACAAGAGGCAUUUUCGAAGUUCCUCACUAUGUACCCCAAGUACUCGUCAUCAGAGAAAGUUGAUCAGUUGAGGUCUGAUGAGUAUUCACAUUUGGCACCUAAGGUGUGCCUUGAUUACUGUGGCUUUGGUCUGUUCUCUUUUGUACAGACUAUUCACUACUGGGACUCUUCUACAUUUAGCUUGUCUGAGAUAACUGCAAAUUUGAGUAACCAUGCACUUUAUGGUGGUGCUGACAAAGGAACAGUUGAACAUGAUAUAAAGGUUAGAAUCAUGGAUUAUCUGAAUAUUCCUGAGAAUGAAUAUGGCCUUGUUUUUACUGUUAGUAGAGGGUCAGCUUUUAAAUUGCUGGCUGAAUCAUACCCUUUCCAUACAAACAAGAAAUUGUUGACCAUGUUCGACCAUGAGAGCCAGUCGGUUGCUUGGAUGGCUCAGUGUGCCAGGGAGAAAGGUGCCAAAGUAUGUAGUGCAUGGUUUAAAUGGCCAACCCUCAAACUCUGCUCCACCGAUUUGAGAAAACAGAUUUCCAGCAAAAAGAAGAGGAAGAAGGAUUCAGCUACCGGUCUGUUUGUGUUCCCAGUUCAGUCCAGAGUAACUGGUGCUAAGUAUUCGUACCAGUGGAUGGCCUUGGCACAGCAGAACAACUGGCAUGUCUUGCUUGAUGCUGGAUCAUUGGGGCCUAAGGACAUGGAUUCACUUGGGUUGUCCCUAUUCCGGCCAGAUUUUAUAGUUACAUCAUUUUACAGGGUGUUUGGGUAUGAUCCAACAGGUUUUGGAUGUCUUCUGAUCAAGAAAUCAGUUAUGGCAAGCCUCCAGAAUCAGUCUGGGAGUACUGGCUCUGGAAUGGUUAAGAUUACUCCUGAAUUUCCAAUAUAUUUGGGUGAUUCAGUUGAUGGAUUGGAUGGAUUGGCUGGUAUUGAGGAUGAGGAAGUCAUUGCUGCUGGUGAUAAGACUUCUGAAACUCGUCAGGGCUCUCAAUUACCUGCCUUUUCUGGUGCGUUUACGUCUGCUCAGGUCAGAGAUGUAUUUGAGAAUGAAAUGGAUCAAGACAGCUCAGAAAGAGAUGGAACUAGCACUAUAUUUGAAGAGACUGAAAGCAUAUCUGUUGGGGAGGUGAUGAAGAGUCCUGUCUUCAGUGAGGAUGAGUCAUCGGAAAAUUCAUUUUGGAUUGAUUUGGGUCAGAGUCCAGUCGGGUCUGAUGGUGUUGGUCAUUUAAAUAAACCGAGGAUGUCUUCUCCCUUACCAUCCAUGUGGUUUAAUGGGAGGAAGGCCCAGAAGCAACAUUCUCCAAAACCAACAUCCAAGAAAUAUGGAAGUCCUAUGUAUGAUGACAGAGAUGUAAAUCUAGGUCUUCAUGAUGAUCGCCAUGUAUUGUCAUUUGAUGCUGCUGUCCUAAUGUCACAAGAGCUAGACCGGGUCAAAGAAGUUCCGGAAGAAGAGCAGGAUGAGUCUAAUCACUAUUCUAGAAAUGGUAAUUCAUCAGAUCAUUUAGAAGCCAAUGGAAUAUUGGAAGAACCUGGAACCAGUGAAGCAGCGCAAAAUGGAUCUGUUGCUUUGAAAGGAUCCUGGCUCAAUCAACAUCAAAGCUUAGAGAACAGCUCUACCUCUGAAAUAUGUUGUGAUGUUAAAGAAAGUGCCAUAAGAAGGGAAACUGAAGGUGAAUUCAGGUUAUUGGGUAGGAGGGAAGGGAAUCGAUAUGGUGGUGGCAGGUUUUUUGGUUUGGAAGAGAAUGAACACACCAGCAGGGGAAGAAGAGUGUCAUUUAGCAUGGAGGAUAAUCGUAAAGAGUACCUAAACCAGACCCUAGAGCCAGGGGACAUAUCUGCAGCUAGCAUAGAUGAUGAAGAGGCUGUCACAAGUGAUGGAGAAUAUGGUGAUGAGGAGGGUUGGGGCAGGAGGGAACCAGAGAUAGUAUGCCGGCAUAUAGAUCAUGUAAAUAUGCUUGGUCUCAACAAAACUACAUCCAGGCUUAGGUUUUUGAUAAAUUGGCUUGUGACCUCCUUAUUGCAGCUGAAGUUACCUGUUUCUGAUGGGGAUGAAAAAGUGAAUCUUGUCCACAUCUAUGGCCCUAAAAUAAAAUAUGAGAGGGGCGCAGCUGUGGCUUUCAAUGUCAGAGACAGAAGCAAGGGGCUGAUCAAUCCAGAGAUUGUCCAAAAGCUUGCUGAGAAUGAAGGGAUCUCUCUUGGUAUUGGUUUUCUCAGUCAUAUAAGGAUCCUUGAUGGCUCAAGACAGCAGCGGGUAUCCCUGAAUCUUGAAGAUACAUCUCUUUGCAGGCCGAUGGAGAAUGGUCGGCGGGAUGGAAAAGGCAGCUUUGUAAGGCUUGAAGUUGUGACAGCUUCACUGGGCUUUUUAACCAACUUUGAAGAUGUGUAUAAAUUGUGGGCUUUUGUGGCUAAGUUUCUUAACCCGGCAUUUAUCAGGGAAGAUAGUCUUCCAACUGUUGAAGAAGGGUAUGAGACAUAAGUUGGCAGUGACUUUAUCAGAUUCUGGAAACUGAAACUGGACCUGAAACAUCAUUUAUUUGAAGAUCCUAACCGGGAGCGGCAGCUGGAAGAAUGAAUGUGAUCAUUUGUAUGAUCUGUCAAAAUGGACAGAUAUUCAUCUCUGCGUCAAAGUCAGACGAGGCAAGCAGGUGGAUUUCUUGAUUUAUGUUUCUUGUUGCUUAGAUUUUUCAUUUUUCUGUCCCCUUUUUUUAGCUUCUUGUAGAGUUGGCCUUAUCAGAUUUGUUACAUAUUGGGGAGCCAUGGUGUUGUUUGAAGCAAUAUUUUAUGGGUAGAAUCUCUAUUGUUUAAAAACUGUUCUUCUGUUGCAUACUCAACUUUUGUAAAAAGGGUAGUGUUCAUUUUAUGCUAUAGUUACAGAUCAUCAAUUUUGGUGCUUUCUUUGUUGGUCUUA